GACAGGGGAUGCAAGCGUUAUCCGGCCUGAUUGGGCGUAAAGCGUCUGUAGGUGGCUUUUUAAGUCUGCCGUCAAAUCCCAGGGCUCAACCCUGGCCAGGCGGUGGAGACUACUAAGCUGGAGUACGGUAGGGGCAGAGGGAAUUUCCGGUGGAGCGGUGAAAUGCGUAGAUAUCGGAAAGAACACCAAGGGCGAAGGCAAUCUGCUGGGCCGAAACUGACACUGAGAGACGAGAGCUAGGGGAGCAAAUGGG
Molecule: ribosomal RNA, 253 nt
Filed under: uncultured bacterium
Lineage: Bacteria
Description: partial 16S ribosomal RNA
Rfam family: Bacterial small subunit ribosomal RNA
Source: RNAcentral